This 1326-nucleotide long non-coding RNA is filed under the name Oryza brachyantha (malo sina). Its description in RNAcentral is "long non-coding RNA (OBRA_LNC001242)". Lineage: Eukaryota; Viridiplantae; Streptophyta; Magnoliopsida; Poales; Poaceae. The record is from RNAcentral.
GCAGACGCAAAAAAGCCUGGCCGGUCCCGCUGCACCCGCCGGUGCAGGCGUGCACCCACCCGUGCAGCCCAGGAGCAACAGGUAAUCUCCCCCGGCCUCACUUCUCUCCCCCUCGCUGCUUUGCUAGGGUUUGGGGCCUCCUCCGCGCGCUCGGGUCGUCCUCGCCGCGCUGUCCUCCGCCGGUCACCCUCCUCCGCCCGUCGCACCCUCCUCCCCUCGUCGCCCUCCUCCGCCGCUCGCCAUCCUCCGUCGCAUCCUCCUCCGCCGCUCUCAAUCCUCCGCCCCGCCCUCCUCUGGUCGUCGCCCUCCUCCGCCGCUCGGCAUCCUCCGCCUCCCCCUUCUCCGGACGUCGCCCUCCUCCGCCCGUCGACCUCCGUCUGUCCCGCUGGUCGCCCUCCGUCUGUUGAAAUCCUUUGCAGGCAAGUAUUGGUGAGAUAUAAACAUAAGUUCGCCUGUUUAUUCUGUUGGAAAAUGCUAAUCCAACACUAAAAAUUCAUUUGAUUACAUUGUCCAAAUUUAACUCCAACAAUGUAGGUCUGUUUGACGGGUUCAGUACCAAAAGUAUGGUAUCAUUUUUUUAGUUUGACAGUUGACGACUAGAAUUUAAUAUAAACUGUUGAUUGGUUAGAAAAGAUGACAGGUUUCCACAUUCCGGGGUGUGGAAGUCAAGAAAAAUUUAAAUCAAAACGCAUUGCCAAACAAAUAUCUGAAUUUGCAACUGAAAAAUUUCAGCACACUGCAUAAUUAUGUAAAUCACUUGUUGAUUGUGUUUGUUAUUUGUUGAUUUGUCAGGAUUAGCUUGAACUGAAGAACAAAAGAAAAAAGUCUCCAGGACAGGAAUUGCCUGCUAGUAGCUGCUUACAAUCAGGCUAAUGUCAGUGGCAUCAAAGCUGCUGCUGCUGCCGCUGUAACUUAUUUGCGUUUCCUGCCGAUGAGAAGACGACGAUUUGGUUUUGCUUGGUGGCCACUAUAUAUAUAAUCUCAGGUUCUGAACUCUGAAGACUCUGAACCUUGAUGAUUAUAAUUAUUGUAAGAAGAGAAGAAGCGAGUAGUUUGUAACUGUAUAUGCAUGACUCAUACUCUCAGCUCUCCAAUUCUUCUGAUUGUGUGGUAUAUAUACAAACAUAGAUGGAAACAUGGAGUUAUGAUGUUAUGACUGUAAAUUUUUCAUCUUUUGCUAUGUACAGAAACAUGGAGUAUAGGAUAGGCUGAAGCUGUAAAUUUGAAAGUGGGGAGAGGGAACAUGAAAGAAUUACUUGAUGAGUUUUGUAACAAUAUAUAGUUAAUACAAUUUCUGAAAGUAUAGCCUUGCUCAUAUUAUUGCUG